This 497-nucleotide ribosomal RNA is filed under the name uncultured bacterium. RNAcentral's name for it is "partial 16S ribosomal RNA". It matches the Rfam family "Bacterial small subunit ribosomal RNA", at positions 28 to 507 of the family's 1533-position model. The record is from RNAcentral.
GAUGAACGCUGGCGGCGUGCCUAAUACAUGCAAGUCGAGCGAACAGACGAGGAGCUUGCUCCUCUGACGUUAGCGGCGGACGGGUGAGUAACACGUGGAUAACCUACCUAUAAGACUGGGAUAACUUCGGGAAACCGGAGCUAAUACCGGAUAAUAUAUUGAACCGCAUGGUUCAAUAGUGAAAGACGGUUUUGCUGUCACUUAUAGAUGGAUCCGCGCCGCAUUAGCUAGUUGGUAAGGUAACGGCUUACCAAGGCAACGAUGCGUAGCCGACCUGAGAGAGUGAUCGGCCACACUGGAACUUAGACACGGUCCAGACUCCUACGGGAGGCAGCAGUAGGGAAUCUUCCGCAAUGGGCGAAAGCUUGACGGAGCAACGCCGCGUGAGUGAUGAAGGUCUUCGGAUCGUAAAACUCUGUUAUUAGGGAAGAACAAAUGUGUAAGUAACUAUGCACGUCUUGACGGUACCUAAUCAGAAAGCCACGGCUAACUACGUG